Molecule: unclassified non-coding RNA, 913 nt
Filed under: Hevea brasiliensis (rubber tree)
Lineage: Eukaryota; Viridiplantae; Streptophyta; Magnoliopsida; Malpighiales; Euphorbiaceae
Source: RNAcentral
AGAGUGACAAUCCCAACUGAGAUUACAAUUGCCACUUUCUUAGACAGUUUCACUGGUUGUGUUGCUAUUGGGAUUGGAAUGUGGAUGGUGAUGGUGAUGGUGAUGGCCGUUGGCUUUGAUCUGGGGUUGGCCCAAUUAGGACCUUGGGGAAGAAGGGUUGGUCUAGGGUGGAAAAGACCUGGCUGUCAAGCAGAGGCAGUGGUGAUGAUGAGUCUAUGCUUGGCAGUGGGGCUGAGCUGUUUGGAAAUAAAGGCUGGUGGAGGAUUCUUCUGUGAGUUUUGGGACCAGUAGUAGAGUGUAGAAUUUCAAUUGCAACAUUGGGCUGAGGAGAUGAUGAUAUGGGUAGAGGAGAAUUAUUUGUUGAAUGGAUGAGGCGGUGGUAGAUGGACAGACUCAUUAGCUUUUGGUAGAGGAGAUAAAAUAAAAGGGUAUUUUGGUCUUUCCAUGUUAAAGUAACGGCAAAUUGAUUUUAAAAUGGAUUGAGGGACCUAUUUGUUAACAUAAUCAUUAUCUAGGAACUACAUAAGCAAUUUCUGAAAAAACGGUGACAUAAGUGUUAAUUAUGGCAUAACUUAGAGACUUUGCGGUAGGGGAGGGCAGGCUCUAGCAUUAUAAAAUGGACAAAUUACUUGUGUUUAUAUGUAAUAUAUUUAUAAUAUGCUGCCUAUUCAAAGUCGUGCUAUUUUUUUAAUAAUAAAUACCAGUUUAACACUGUAUAACUUUGAAGAACUUAGGUUAGAAAGUAGACAACGUAAAAUUUGUUUUUAGUUUUUGCUAUCUAUUUUUGUAAGGAACUACUAGAGGUUAUUCAUUUUUAGAUGGCUAUAUAAAUAAACCUUCCAUUUUUCAAAGAUUAUGCACAUAAUAUAUCAUAUGAGAAUUGUGCAUCUAAUGAGAUGUAAAAACAAUUAAU